UCAUUGCUGAGGAGUUCCACAGCAGGACGAAACGGCCGUCCAAUGC
This 46-nucleotide non-coding RNA is filed under the name Schistosoma haematobium. The record is from RNAcentral. Lineage: Eukaryota; Metazoa; Platyhelminthes; Trematoda; Strigeidida; Schistosomatidae.